GGAUGUGAGAGUCUUCUGUGUGCAAAAUCUGCCACCUCAUGGAUCCCUAGUGUUGAUUCACCUGAUCUGUCUUGCUAGGCUGUGUCAUAUUUUCUUCCUAAGUGCUCAUUCUGUGUCCUUCCUAAGGGUGCCCAUUUGAUCUAAGAGGCAACCUUCAACAUUUGGAGGAAAACCAUUCUUCCAACAUAGAUAGCUUGAUCCCCUGCUAGAAUGUCCAAACAAGCUCUCCAAAAAUGUUGGUGAGUGCAAUCCCCACAAGAGACCAGAUCUAUCAGAUGUGGACACUCCACCAUAUUCU
Marmota marmota marmota (Alpine marmot) is the source of this 298-nucleotide unclassified non-coding RNA. Its record names the gene 7SK. It matches the Rfam family "7SK RNA". Rfam says of the family: 7SK was discovered as an abundant small nuclear RNA in the mid-70s but a possible function has only recently been suggested. Two independent studies have found that 7SK RNA binds the CDK9/cyclin T complex (known as elongation factor P-TEFb). P-TEFb activates transcription by phosphorylating the C-terminal domain of RNA polymerase II. The record is from Ensembl. NCBI's taxonomy places the organism in Eukaryota, Metazoa, Chordata, Mammalia, Rodentia, Sciuridae.